UACGAAGGGGGCUAGCGUUGUUCGGAAUUACUGGGCGUAAAGCGCACGUAGGCGGAUAUUUAAGUCAGGGGUGAAAUCCCGGGGCUCAACCCCGGAACUGCCUUUGAUACUGGGUAUCUCGAGUCCGAGAGAGGUGAGUGGAAUUCCGAGUGUAGAGGUGAAAUUCGUAGAUAUUCGGAGGAACACCAGUGGCGAAGGCGGCUCACUGGACUGGUACUGACGCUGAUGCGCGAAAGCGUGGGGAGCAAACAGG
This 253-nucleotide ribosomal RNA is filed under the name uncultured bacterium. RNAcentral's name for it is "partial 16S ribosomal RNA". It matches the Rfam family "Bacterial small subunit ribosomal RNA", at positions 524 to 776 of the family's 1533-position model. The record is from RNAcentral.